This 520-nucleotide ribosomal RNA is filed under the name uncultured bacterium. Its description in RNAcentral is "bacterial SSU rRNA". It matches the Rfam family "Bacterial small subunit ribosomal RNA", at positions 791 to 1329 of the family's 1533-position model. The record is from RNAcentral.
UAGUCCACGCCCUAAACGAUGUCAACUAGACGUUGGGCUCAUUAAGGAGCUUAGUGUCGAAGCUAACGCGUUAAGUUGACCGCCUGGGGAGUACGGGCCGCAAGGUUGAAACUCAAAGGAAUUGACGGGGGCCCGCACAAGCGGUGGAGCAUGUGGUUUAAUUCGAUGCAACGCGAAGAACCUUACCAGCCCUUGACAUCCUGGGAAUUUUGUAGAGAUACAUUAGUGCCUUCGGGAAUCCAGUGACAGGUGCUGCAUGGCUGUCGUCAGCUCGUGUCGUGAGAUGUUGGGUUAAGUCCCGCAACGAGCGCAACCCUUGUCCCUAGUUGCCAGCAGUUCGGCUGGGCACUCUAAAGAACUGCCCGUGAUAAGCGGGAGGAAGGUGUGGAUGACGUCAAGUCCUCAUGGCCCUUACGGGUUGGGCUACGACACGUGCUACAAUGGCAAGUACAGUGGGUUAAUCCCCGAAAACUUGUACUCAGUUCGGAUUGGGGUCUGCAACUCGACCCCAUGAAGUCGG